AACGUAGGAGGCAAGCGUUAUCCGGAUUUAUUGGGCGUAAAGCGCGUGCAGGCGGUUUGAUAAGUUGGAUGUGAAAUCUCCCGGCUCAACUGGGAGCGGUCAUUCAAAACUAUCAGACUAGAGGAUGGGAGAGGGAGGUGGAAUUCCGGGUGUAGUGGUGAAAUACGUAGAUAUCCGGAGGAACACCAGUGGCGAAGGCGGCCUCCUGGACCAUUCCUGACGCUAAGACGCGAAAGCUAGGGGAGCAAACGGGAUUAGAGACCCCGGUAGUCCUAGCCGUAAACGAUGUAGACUUGGCGUUGGCGGAGUUAAAUCUGUCAGUGCCGGAGCUAACGCGUGAAGUCUACCGCCUGGGGACUACGACCGCAAGGUUAAAACUCAAAGGAAUUGACGGGGACCCGCACAAGCAGCGGAGCGUGUGGUUUAAUUCGAUGCUACACGAAGAACCUUACCAGGGUUUGACAUGCAAGUGGUAGUGAUCUGAAAAGUGAACGACCCUUCGGGGAGCUUGCACAGGUGCUGCAUGGCU
RNAcentral lists this ribosomal RNA (529 nucleotides) under uncultured bacterium. Its description in RNAcentral is "bacterial SSU rRNA". It matches the Rfam family "Bacterial small subunit ribosomal RNA", at positions 524 to 1050 of the family's 1533-position model. The record is from RNAcentral.